CCUACGGGUGGCAGCAGUGAGGAAUAUUGGUCAAUGGACGCAAGUCUGAACCAGCCAAGCCGCGUGCAGGAUGACGGCCCUAUGAGUUGUAAACUGCUUUUGUACGAGGGUAAACCCCGAUACGUGUAUCGGGUUGAAAGUUUCGUACGAAUAAGGAUCGGCUAACUCCGUGCCAGCAGCCCCGGUAAUACGGAGGAUCCGAGCGUUAUCCGGAUUUAUUGGGGUUAAAGGGUGGGUAGGCGGUUUGAUAAGUUCGGGGUGAAAUGUCGGGGCUCAAACCCGAAACUGCCGCUAAUACUGUUGGACUAGAGAAUAGUUGCAGUAGGCGGAAUGUAUGGUGUAGCGGUGAAAUGCUUAGAGAUCAUACAGAACACCGAUUGCGAAGGCAGCUUACCAAACUAUAUCUGACGUUGAGGCACGAAAGCGUGGGUAGCAAACAGGAUUAGAUACCCGGGUAGUC
This 460-nucleotide ribosomal RNA is filed under the name uncultured bacterium. RNAcentral's name for it is "partial 16S ribosomal RNA". It matches the Rfam family "Bacterial small subunit ribosomal RNA", at positions 338 to 795 of the family's 1533-position model. The record is from RNAcentral.